UUAUUAAAUUUUGGCUCCAACACUGGCGCCCAAACUCACAUUUUUAAAUUAAAAAAAAAAAGACAAUUUUGGAGCCAAUUUGUUAACACUUCUGCCUAUAAAUAUCAGAUCAUUUCAGAAAACAUUUUGACAAUGCAAAUUCUAUAUCUCUCUAUUUUUGGUUCUUCUAUUUCUUUUUUAUAUUUUUUUGUUUUUAUAUUUAUACAUUUAUUUGUUUAGUUUUUGGCUAAUUACCAUUAGUCACAAUUACAAUAGAGGUAGCUUAUCACAACAAUUAUUUCUACUUUAUGCAGGCUGCAAUUUUUUAUUUUUCUGCGCAGAUGAAGAUCUGAAUUUAUCGAUGGAGCUUGAAAGUGUUAUCUCUUGGAUCUGCAAAAUCUGCAAAAGCAACAAAAAAAAUGAUUUUAGUAUAUAUUAAUGAUUUAAAGGAAAAUAGACUAUGGUAUAUGUACACUUUUGCUCUAUACCCACAAAUGAAUUUGUUUUAUUUCUGUUCUUUUUCUGCUAAAACAAUUUUUUCAUCAAAUUUUCAAAAGGAGAAGAAAUAGGGAAUAAAGUGGUGUCAACAGCUGUAAACAUUUUCCUCCCAUCAGAUUCACUGCGUUUUUUUUUUUUGCCAAAACUGAGAAUCUGUAGAAAUUCCUUUAAAUCAAACAUGCAAAUAAAGAAAGAAAAAAAAAGUGCAAAUAUUAAAGAACAAAAAAUUAUGCAAAAAAAUUAAAGAUGUUCAUAGAUAUGCAAAACUAAUAUGCGAAGGUAAACAGCAGAGGGAUUCGCGAAUACAGUGAGCAGAGAAGAAGGAAGAAGAUGAGGAACAGAGCUUCAACAACGGAGCCACAAAAACAGCAGCAAAAUCAAAACUUGCCGACACAAAAUCGCCUUCUCCAGACCUUAACUCUCUUCUUCUUUCUCCCAAAAAAUAACUCCCAAAAUUCUUCUCUCGAAUCUUUUUCAAAUGAUAUUCAUAGAUCUACAAAAAUGAUAAUGUAAAAACAAAAAAAAUAUAAGAAAUUAAAAAUUAAAAAAACUAAUAAACGAAAAAAUAGAUCUUAAUCAGUAUAAAAAUAAGGGGGUGGAAAUUUGACAUUGAGCAAGAAAUUUUAAACAUGGAGAAAAUUAAAAAACUAAAAAUUAAAAAUGAAAAUCUAAUAAACGAAAAAAAAGUAGAUCUUAUUCAGUAUAGAAAAACUAAUCUGCAAGAAAAGGUUUCAAAAUUUCAUAUGGAGAAUGCUAGAAUUAAAGAUGCAGACGAGAGGAGGCCGAGAUCUGGAGGCUAGGGCUUGGGCGACGCCGUAGCUUGAAACCCGGAUGGCGGCGGCUGGAUACGAGCUGUGCAGAGGGAGGCAGCGGCGCAUUUAUCGUCGUCGAGGUGGGAACGUCGGUGAGUGAUUGAGAGGCAGACAAUCGGCGGCCGUGGCUUGUGGAGAAGACUUAAAUUGUAAAAUAUGUGUUCGAAGGAUUGGAUCUGGAAGUGAGAGCGGCGGAUCUAUAAUGAGAUUAGGAUUGAAUUUUGGGAGAAGUGGAGAACACUCUAGAAUUCUAAGGCAGCGGCUGAAACCCUAAAAAUCAAUGCUUCUCUCUCUCUCUGUGUAUUUAUAAUUUUAUAUUAUGCUUUGUUUAUUGAAGUACUAAUAAAUACUAGGCUCUCGAGUUCAUCAAGUGGUUGGGGCUCUUUCUCUCAAAAAAAUAAAGUGGUUGGGGCUCUCGAAUUAUUUUUUUUUUUGUUGAAAGGGGGGCUCUCGAAAAUUAGUGGAGUAGUUUUUAUAUUGAAUGCUGUAUAUCUGCCAUAUAUUAAAAUGUUAAUAAAGUAGUAUAAUAUAUUUAGUUGGGC
Molecule: long non-coding RNA, 1831 nt
Filed under: Salvia miltiorrhiza (redroot sage)
Lineage: Eukaryota; Viridiplantae; Streptophyta; Magnoliopsida; Lamiales; Lamiaceae
Description: long non-coding RNA (SMIL_LNC006477)
Source: RNAcentral